CGUGUGCUUAUGUCUCUAAAAUGGCCCACUCUCAUUGCUACCAUUGUGUGCAUGCGUCCAUAACAUGGCCUGCAUAUCGUGUUGCCUUUGCAUGCCUGAAAUUGCCUGAAAGUACGCCUACGUCUAGGAGAGGGCCUGAUGCCAUCAUGUAGGAUAAGUGGGAACUGAAAGAUGAAAGUGAAAUACCACUAUUUUUAACAUUAUUUUACUUAUUUCGUAAAUCAGAGGCGGAGCAUUGCCCCUCUUUUUUGACCUAAGGCUCUCUUCGCGGGCCGAUCUAGGCGAAAGACAUUGUCAGGUGGGGAGUUUGGCUAGGACAGCACAUCUAUUAAAAAAUAACGCAGGUGUCCUAAGAUGAGCUUAACGAGAACAGAAAUCUUAUGUGGAAGAGAAGGGUAAAAGCUCGUUUGAUUCUAAUUUUUAGUACGAAUACGAACCGUGAAAGCAUGGCCUGACUGUCCUUUAGACCUUUGAAAUUUGAAGUUAAAGGUGCCAGAAAAGUUACCGUAGGGAUAAUUGGCUUGUGGCAGCCAAGCAUUCAUAGCGACGUUGCUUUUUAAUCCUUCAAUAUUGACUCUUCCUAUCAUUGUGAAAUAGAAUUCACCAAGUGUUGGAUUGUUCACCCACCAAUGGCGAAUGUGAGCUGGGUUUAGACCAUCGUGAGACAUGUUAGUUUCACCCGACUGAUGACAGUGUCUCACUAGUCGUUCAACCAGUACAAGAGGAACCGUUGAUUCUUACAAUUGGUCAUCGCGCUUGGUUGAAAAGCCAGUAGCACGAAGCUACCGUGCGCUGGAUUAUGACUAAAUGCCUCUAAAUCAGAAUUCGGGCUAAAAGAGAUGAACGCACCUGCCAUCCGCUUCUCGACUCGCAGUAGGGGCCUUACGGCCCCCGGGAGCACAUGUC
Molecule: ribosomal RNA, 906 nt
Filed under: Olea europaea subsp. europaea
Lineage: Eukaryota; Viridiplantae; Streptophyta; Magnoliopsida; Lamiales; Oleaceae
Description: LSU_rRNA_bacteria
Rfam family: Eukaryotic large subunit ribosomal RNA (bases 98-906)
Source: RNAcentral